Molecule: long non-coding RNA, 1358 nt
Filed under: Mus musculus (house mouse)
Lineage: Eukaryota; Metazoa; Chordata; Mammalia; Rodentia; Muridae
Description: RIKEN cDNA D630033O11 gene
Source: RNAcentral
AGCACAUAAAGCCAUGAAGGCAGGCAAAUGCCGAGGCCAAGGCCUGGCCAAACUACCUUUUGCUUCCCGGGCUUGUCCACAGCUGGAGAGGCAGAGCCCGGGCUGUGUCUGUCACUCUCGGUGACAAGGCUGCACUGUGUGUGCCUGGGACUGCAAGGCCAUGGGAUCUCCCCUUUGUCCCUGCUUCAACUCCCAGCCCCUGGCCCUAAGCACAAGUGCGUCAGAGGCGUGUUUUCUUCUGAACCCAGCUGGGACAAGGUCAUCCGAGGGGAGGUUCCCUGUGCACAAGUUCAGUGCUCCUUGACCAGGAACUCGGCCAAAGGGCACAGGCUCACCCACCCCCUAGCUGCCUUCCCACCCAGACACAUGAGAAAAUGUCCCGUUAGCCCUUCCAGUCAUGCGAAUGAGGCCACGAUUGAUUCAAAGGCAGUGGGCAAGGAGGAGGCCGCAUGGAGCAGUCAGAAAGAACCAGCCCUUUGUGCUGCAGCAGGGUCCUUGGGGGCUACGCAAGUCUCAUUAACUUGCUUACACUGGAUUUGAACUUACUCUCUGUUGCCUGGGAGGUCUUGAACCUGUGAUGCCUCCUACCUACCUCAGCUUCCUGAGAAACUGGGAUCACAGGCCUAAUUGCCAGGCAUGGCCAAAUUGUGUGUGUGUGUGUAUCUCUCUCUCUCUCUCUCUCUCUCUCUCUCUCUCUCUCUCUGUGUGUGUGUGUGUGUGUAUGUGUGUGUAUGAGAGAGAGAGCAUGCGCAAUGCAUAGACUCAUGCACACACACAUAUACGCGUAUACACAUAUGUGUGCACAUGCAGAUAAAAGGCUGACACUGAACAUCUGUCUUAUUUACCUAUUUUUCUGAUGCAGAGUCUUUCACUGUAUCUGGAGCACACUGAUUCAUUGAGAUGCCUCAUCAGGAUGCUCCCAGCAUUCCUGUUUCCAUUUCCCUAGCCUUGGGAUUACACGUACACGCUGUUUGCACUCAAUGUUUGACCUGGGAGCUGGUCAAAAGGUUUCAUGCUUGUAUGCUUAAGUUGUUUACUGGUCUAGCCUUCUCUCUAGAUCCUUUGCUUUCAUUUUACACGUGGGGAAACCGAGGCUGCGUGGGGCAUCGUAACAGCUAGCACAGAGAAACUCUUGCUGUCCUGGACAUGCUAAGUCUCUACAAGGGUGAGCCUAUUUAAUCUGCACAACCAGGUGAGGCAGGUUCUAGCAUUAUUCCCCUUCACAGGUCAGCGUGUAAAGCCCCGCUGAUUCCUAACUGGGGGGCAUUCCCCAAAAGCUGAGAAACAAUGGGCUGGAUGUGAGACCCAGUCUCAGAGGACUGAGUCUUAAAAGGGGGAGAUACACCUCCCAUGUUCUA